Long non-coding RNA from Camelus dromedarius (Arabian camel), 891 nucleotides. RefSeq lists it as uncharacterized. The record is from RefSeq and is a predicted model, not a curated record. The transcript is spliced from 3 exons. Lineage: Eukaryota; Metazoa; Chordata; Mammalia; Artiodactyla; Camelidae.
CUGGCCAGACUGAGAGGAGAGACGGUUCACAGAGAUGUUUCUGAAGGUGCUAUAAACCGUUGUCUCCCUGAGGAUAGCAGUUUAGUGUAGCGUCAGUCGGACCAAUAAACAUUCCCGUGCUGCUGGGGAGACCCAGGUGUAAGAAGUAGGGUCAGGAUGUAAGGAAAGGAAGAAUCAAGCUUUGUGAUGAAAGAUGCUCAGCACAGGACACGUGAGGGAAGUGCUGAGAACGGGAGGGGGAAAUGUGUCAGUGCAGAACCGGGCAGGCGUUCAGUAACAGUGACGGAAGGAGUGGCUGCAGUGACAGCUUUGCACCUGCUGUGCUUCUGCAGCCGUGUGCAGUGUGUCUUGAGCGGUGAGAUGAUGUGUGUGAGUGUGCAGUGCAGAUAACCUGGACUGGGGCAGGUUAUUUAACAGCAUACCCAGCAUUGUGUCUUCUCUGAUGGAACAAUUUGUAACUCAUAGGAUAAGACUUGAAGAAUGUCAUGGGCAAAUGCGGGAAGCAGAGAUCAUUUGGAGACACCAGGUAACCUGCCUUCCUCCUGACACACCGAGUCCUCAGCACCUGAUGCAGACAGUUAUUGUGGCCCUGAGAACCCCUAGCCAUGGGGUGUUUCUUGAUGUGUUGACUUUUUCAGGUCACUCUUGCCGAGAAGAAGGCCCAAGACAGCUCACUCAGGGCUCAGGAGCUGGAGAGGGAAAUCUCUGAAUUGAGAAGGGAAAACUCUGACAUGAGAAGGGAAAACUCCUCUGAGCUGAGAAGGGAAGUUGCCCACCUGAAACAGAGAUUGGAUGCAAUCUGCAGACGGAGGCAGGCAGAGGAAUACAUGAGGCAGGAUCCCACUCCAGGAGGACCGUACAGGCUGCACCCUCCCCUGAGAGGUAAGGAGC